RNAcentral lists this ribosomal RNA (748 nucleotides) under uncultured bacterium. RNAcentral's name for it is "bacterial SSU rRNA". It matches the Rfam family "Bacterial small subunit ribosomal RNA", at positions 8 to 796 of the family's 1533-position model. The record is from RNAcentral.
AGAGUUUGAUCCUGGCUCAGGAUAAACACUGGCGGCGUGCCUAACACAUGCAAGUCGCACGUCCUACGCAAGUAGGGAGUGGCGGACGGGUGAGGAAGACAUGGGUACCUGCCCCGAAGUGAGGAAUACCACCGAGAAAUCGGUGACAAUACCGCAUACGUUUCGUAAGAAGCAAAGCCGCAAGGCGCUUCGGGAUGGGCCUCUGGCCGAUUAGCUAGCUGGUGGGGUAAUGGCCUACCAGGGCGACGAUCGGUAGCUGGUCUGAGAGGAUGAUCAGCCACACUGGGAUUGAGAACGGCCCAGACUCCUACGGGGGGCAGCAGUGAGGAAUUUUCCGCAAUGGGCGCAAGCCUGACGGAGCAACGCCGCGUGCAGGAAGACGGCCUUCGGGUUGCAAACUGCUUUUCUCAGGGACGAGCAAGGACGGUACCUGAGGAAUCAGCCCCGGCUAACUACGUGCCAGCAGUCGCGGUAAUACGUAGGGGGCGAGCGUUGUCCGGAGUUACUGGGCGUAAAGCGCACGCAGGCGGUCAACCAAGUUUUCGGUGACAGCUUCCCGCUUAACGGGGAGAGUGCCGGGAAAACUGGCUGACUUGAGGGUCAGAGAGGGACAUGGAAUUCCGGGUGGAGUGGUGAAAUGCGUAGAUAUCCGGAAGAACACCAAUGGCGAAGGCAGUGUCCUGGAUGACUCCUGACGCUCAGGUGCGAAAGCCAGGGGAGCGAACGGGAUUAGAUACCCCGGUAGUCC